The sequence is a ribosomal RNA, 1182 nucleotides long. The stretch from base 200 to 353 matches the Rfam family "5.8S ribosomal RNA".
GGGGCUUCGGAGUACUGACAGGUUGUAGCUGGCCUUUCGGGGCAUGUGCACACCUGGCUCAUCCACUCUUCAACCUCUGUGCACUUGUUGUAGGUCGGUAGAAGAGCGAGCAUCUAAUGCUUGCUUGGAAGCCUUCCUAUGUUUUACUACAAACGCUUCAGUUUAAGAAUGUUUACCUGCGUAUAACGCAUUUAUAUACAACUUUCAGCAACGGAUCUCUUGGCUCUCGCAUCGAUGAAGAACGCAGCGAAAUGCGAUAAGUAAUGUGAAUUGCAGAAUUCAGUGAAUCAUCGAAUCUUUGAACGCACCUUGCGCUCCCUGGUAUUCCGGGGAGCAUGCCUGUUUGAGUGUCAUGGUAUUCUCAACCUUCAUAACUUUUGUUAUCGAAGGCUUGGACUUGGAGGUUGUGCUGGCUUCUAGUUAAGUCGGCUCCUCUUAAAUGUAUUAGCGUGAGUGUAACGGAUCGCUUCGGUGUGAUAAUUAUCUGCGCCGUGGUCGUGAAGUAACAUAAGCUUGCGCUUCUAACCGUCCUUCAGUUGGACAAUUACUUUGACAUCUGACCUCAAAUCAGGUAGGACUACCCGCUGAACUUAAGCAUAUCAAUAAGCCGGAGAGAGAUCAUUAACGAGUAACUGAACAGGUUGUAGCUGGCCUUUCGGGGCAUGUGCACACCUGGCUCAUCCACUCUUCAACCUCUGUGCACUUGUUGUAGGUCGGUAGAAGAGCGAGCAUCUAAGCUUGCUUGGAAGCUUCCUAUGUUUUACUACAAACGCUUCAGUUUAAGAAUGUUUACCUGCGUAUAACGCAGUUAUAUACACUUUCAGCAACGGAUCUCUUGGCUCUCGCAUCGACUAACAACGCACGACUGCGAUAAGUCAUUGUGAACUGCAGAAAUCAGUGAAUCAUCGAAUCUUUGAACGCACUUGCGCUCCUGGUAUUCCGGGGAGCAUGCUGUUUGAGUGUCAUGGUAUUUCUCACCUUCAUAACUUUUGUUAUCGAAGCUGACUUGGAGUUGUGCUGCUUCUAGUUAAUCGGCUCCGUCUAAAUGUAUUAGCGUGAGUGUUAACGAUCCUCGGCUGAUAAUUACUGGCCUGGUCUGAGUACAUAAGCUGGCUCUACGCUUCAUGGAAGUACUGACCUGACCAUCGUUGAUACCUGACUAGCUCUCUACGGAGAGAGAAA